CUGCGGAAGGAUCAUUAAUCAAUCGCGCACCGUUGGAAGGGGAUGGACAGUCCAGCAUGGAGAGAGGGAGUGAUGCGAUCGGAGCGACCCCCCAUACUCACCGCAGUGUCAAGGCCCUCUGGGCCCAAGACUGGAGUCCCUGGAACCUGGGUUGCAGACGGCUACGCCCAGUGAGUGAGGGAAUCAUCCCUCGCCAGCUGUAGUGAGUCGAGAGCCCUUAGUUAUAGUAGCGCGUCUCCUUCGUCGAACCGCAUCUCACUGUCUAAGGGUCCCACCAGAUUAUACUUUCCGGAAAGCUGCUCCCAAGUGAAACUGGGACUCGAGCUUUCCAAGCCUCAGUAGGGUCGAUUCGUCAACAUCGAUUGUGAAGGCGUCACCUUGCCCGCUAAACCUUUGAGUUAAUGGGAGCUCUGCUUUGCAUCUUCAGUAUAUAGGGGUGGGUACCUGCUGAGUCUGAGGGAGAGAGAAAUCAUCGCUGUGGGUAGGGACGACCCCUCUAUCUUUGACAGUGUCGCCUACACCUCCUUCUGAUGUGUUGGACUGACAGUCCCCUUUGACGUGAUCAUUUGAUUUUACCCCUCUGUGAACCUUCUCCUGUUGCUUCCGUGUUGCCUGUGACCUUUUGCUUUCCUGUUACAGGUUGAAGAAGGUUGCCUGAAAAGCCUGAGGAUUUGAUCCUCAAGGGCGCGCGGCUAUAGCUUAUGAACUCUUGUUGUCUGUAUUCCUUACGUCUGAGUGUUGAACACAUCAAACAAGUUAAAACUUUCAACAACGGAUCUCUUGGUUCUCGCAUCGAUGAAGAACGCAGCGAAAUGCGAUAAGUAGUGUGAAUUGCAGAAUUCAGUGAAUCAUCGAAUCUUUGAACGCACAUUGCGCCUCCUGGUAUUCCGGGAGGCAUGCCUGUUCGAGCGUCAUCAAACUCAUCCUCAGGCAUCUUUGCUUGGUUCUGGAGGAAGAUGGACUUUGGUCCAUCCCCUCCAAAAUUCCUCAGCGGAAUCCAUGAUAACCCCAGCGUGAUGAUAACCUGUUCGCUUUGGUUGGUUGUGGUCUUUCAGCUGUGUGAAGCCCCCCAGCACUCUUUAUGUUGACCUCGGAUCACGUAGC
This 1104-nucleotide ribosomal RNA is filed under the name Pseudoplectania melaena. RNAcentral describes it as "eukaryotic LSU rRNA". The stretch from base 761 to 914 matches the Rfam family "5.8S ribosomal RNA". Lineage: Eukaryota; Fungi; Ascomycota; Pezizomycetes; Pezizales; Sarcosomataceae. The record is from RNAcentral.